Long non-coding RNA from Marmota monax (woodchuck), 12966 nucleotides. RefSeq lists it as uncharacterized. The record is from RefSeq and is a predicted model, not a curated record. Lineage: Eukaryota; Metazoa; Chordata; Mammalia; Rodentia; Sciuridae. The transcript is spliced from 3 exons.
UCCCAGGCCUGAAGUCCAGGUCUGGAGGGAGAGACCAGGAAAAUCAUCACCAGCCACAGGACAGUCCCGAGAGCUGCAGGGGUCUGUCCAGUCUCAGGUGGGGCCCUGACCCCGGGGCCCAUUCCAUCUCCAGGACACCAAACUGCCUUUCAGUAGAGGACCACUGAGUGGGGUUUCACGGUGGGAGCAGGAGUUCUCCAGCUGGAGGCCGGGGCGGCCAGCGGGCCAGUGGGAAGGGCUCCAGGCAGGUCCAGGAGAAGGUUUGGAGCUGGAGGUGGGAGGGGUCUGGAUCCCAUCUUUUAGACAAAGAGGAGCCAUAAAGACAUUUUAAGCGGCCAAGGACGGUCGGGUGUGCCCAUGCUGAGGGUCCAGUGCGUGUGUUCCUUCUCCAGAAAACGAGCCACCAAGCAGCAGCUUCCCGGGGCUGCACUCCCCUCCCGCCCAGCCUGGACUCUGGUGUCCUGGGAGCCCGUCCCCCUGGUGGUGUUGGUCCCCAGAGUUCUUGGGCUCGCCCCUGGCUACAGCGGCAGGACCUGGCCCGGUCCUUCAGGAGGCUGUUGCCCCGCCCGAUGGACACAGCAGUGGAGGCCUGCGGGGGUCGGCGGUGGGCACGGAGCCACUGUGGGUCACUGCACCCUCAGCCAGGCCCCUGGCCUUGGGUUCCCAGACAGGCCCAGAGGGGGUGCAGCCGGGGAGGGUCACGGUCCACCCAGGCCAUGGUCCUGGCAGCUGCCGUCCCCUCCUGAGGGCCACCCUGGCGCCCACAGCGGGGAGCAGCCUGAAAGCUGGCCGCCGUGACCGUGUCCAAGGGCAUCAGCUCCGGGCGCCAGAGGUCAGCCUGCCUGCGGCCCCGCGGCAGCCCAGGCCGUCAGGGCGCGGCCGGGACACCACACUGGUGCCCGCACCCGUCCACCUGGGGAGACCUCCCCCUGCACCGUGGCCGGCCUCACUCCUUCCCCCAGCGAGUGCCGGGCACCGUCCGCACCCACACGGAGCAGGGAGCGGCGUCCCCUCCAAGAGGGAAGAGCGUGCGGCUUUGUGAGCAGUGGGGACGAAGGACGCCUGCAGGUGUCACCGACGUGGGGACCCUGGCGCGCCCCAGCUGAGCACCGGCUGUGCACAGACUCAUCCAGGCCAGGGGGCUGGGCCGCAGACGCCUGGAUCCCGUCACCACCACCCCCGGCCUUCAGCCCCUCACAGGCCUGCGCCCCACCGUCCUGUAGGCAGGGCCCUGCCCCGCCCUCCGGCCCCCUGAGCUUUCCUGGUGGCCUGGCCCUGAGUCUUUCCCAAGGCCACGGGCCCAGCCUUCUGGCCUCCCAGGGCCUGCCUGGCUCGGGCCGUCCCAGUCUGUCUCUGGACCACCUUGCUUCCUCCUGGGCUCCUGCUGGGGCUCUCCCUCCCAGACCCCCGCCUUCCAGGGACCAGAGAGCUCCUACCAGUGACCCCUGAGCUGGCCCCAACCCGGGCAAGCUGCCCCUGUGCUUCCCAAACCCUGUGAGUGGACAGUCAAGGGGCCACUUUGGCCUGGACCAGGCCCCGCCCAGGCCUUCACUCACGUACUCUCUUACUUAAUCUUAUUAAUUUAACUCAGGUUUCGUGGGGCAAGGACCAGUGCCGUAGCACUGAGCUCCACCCCGGCCCCAAGUUAAGUUAGAAAAGUAACUAAGUGCUCCAUCCCACAGGGAAGGUGGUCUGGGGCAGAGACACCGGCGUCCUGUCCCUGUCCAAGGCUUCCUGCUCCACGCCAGGUCCCCAGGGCUAAGUGGAGCAGACGGCCCCCCAGAUUCAAGGGGUGUUCCCAACUUCCCUUCGCAGUGUGGUGUGGCCAUUUGACCGAGUUCUAAGUGAGCUGAACUGGUGGUGUGUGGAGCUUCCCAGAAGUGCCCUUAAAGAGAGGGGGUAUGGCCUUCCAAAUCCCCUUCUUCCCUUCUACUGGAAUGCAAGCAUGAGAGCUGGAGCACAGGCAGCACUGUUGGAUAAGGAGGAGGUAAACCAACUAGAAGGAGCCUGGCUCCCUAAGGACCACAGAGCCGCCCUCGAAGGCCACAGCAGGACUGAGCUGUGCAGGAGAAGUGCAGUUCUUUUAUUGAAGACACUGCCUCUUGCAGAUUUCAGACGCUUGCCACAAAGUCUCCCCUGCAGUGAAUGUAAAAAUAACGAUGGCUGUCAUGAAAAAGUGGCGUUCUGGAGCCCUCAGGGGCAGCUUCCUCGUCAGAGGACAGAGCAGGUCAUCCACCCAGGUGGAUUUCCUCAGUUUGUUCUGAGGGACCAGCGGGGAACGGAAAGCAAAGAUGUCCUCACCGUGUGGCUCAAGGUGACAGCGCCAAGCUGCUCACCGCACUGCGGCACUGCGCCUGGCGUCCCCGCACCCAGGCCCUGCUGCCCGCCUCUACCUCCGGCCCCAGCCACCAGUCUCCCUGGGGCAGUCACCAGCAUCCAGCGUCCACCAGCAGAUGGUGUUUGUCACCGCGCUCAGCCUCUGGGACUCCGUGACCGGCUUCUCUCUCUGCUCCUCAGCAUCACGCAGCCUCCCUAUGGGCCCUCGCCCUGGCCGAGCGCCACGGUCAGCUGGCCGGGGGACCGGGCGUGUGAGCGCCUCAGCUGCCCGCCGUCCUCCUCCCUGUGAAGUGGGCGCCUUCCUCCAGGGAGUCCACGUGCGUCCUGAGCUUCACAGCCACCAAGCCCCUGGGACACCUGAGGGCAGGGCCAGGAGCUGGCCGCCUGCGACUACUGCCUCAGCCUCGUCCCCUUCACCCAGCAGGUCCCUCCCGGGUCACGGCCUGACUUCCUUGUGGACUGGCCACCCGGGGAUUCACCUUCUGUUUCCACACCCCAGCAGGGAGCUGGGCUCAGCUGGGCUCAGGAAACCGACCGCGGGAGGUGACGGGGUGACAGCGAGACAAAUGACGGGCACCCCCUGCGCCCCGAGCCACACCGUGUUCUCGGCGUGUGCAGGCUCAGGGUGGGGGACCUGGGACCAGGCUCCUGCGGCCCUGCAGCUGCCCAGCUGCUUCCUGAUGCUGGCGUCCUGGGGACGGGCCACACGAGGCUCCGAGCCCCGACCGGGAACCAGGCCUCCUGAUUCUGAGCCAGAGGGGCCCCGUGAGAGUCAGUCCCAGCCUGGGCGCCCGCGUGUGUGUGGGCAGGACGGCGUGUUCCUUCCUGGAGCCAGGGAGUGACUAACGCGCUGCAGGAGGACCAGCAGGUACAGCAGGCCUCGCUGCCCUGCCCUGCGGCCUGGCGGUGCCGCCCCGUCCCAGCACCCAGGGCCUCUCAGCGCCUCCCUCGCCGGGCUCCUCCCUGGCCCCACACACACACACACACACACACACACACACACACACACACACGCUGUGACUGGCUGCCUUCCCGCCUGCGACCCUCCCGCGGGCUGCCCUGCUCACCCCUCCUCCUGGGCCGGGCGCAGGCUGUGAGGCCCUGGGCGACUUCCCGAGCCUCUCUGGGCUUCAUGUAAGAUGCCCCUCAGUCCAGCCCCCUUCAGUGAGCUCCUACCAAGUCUGCGGCGUCUCGGGAGGAGCAGUGGGGACGCUUACUUGUCCCUGUCUGUUCUCUUGUACCUUGAAGUGUCCCGCCAUGUGUGAGGGGGACAUUCAGAUUUUAUUAGGAUAAUAAUGACCAAUGAAAUGAGACUUCGGAAUGGGGAAACCUGUCACCCCAAGCCGUGAGGACGAAGGGUCAGGUCCGGUGCCCAGAAAAAAGGAAGUGCUCACUUAACUCCACCACCUGGGCCGCUGUCCCCCGCCCCUCGCUCCUCCCGUGGCCUCCCCCGCCCAGCCUGGCCUCCUGGAGGGCCGAGGCGACCCGCUGCCCUCCCCUCCGCGCUCUCGCCCACCCCUCCUCCCACCGUCAUCCGCCAUCCUCCUCCCCCUGCCACCCGUCCGUCCUCCCCGUCCAUCACCCACACCUUCAUCUGCCCCGUCACUGCCCGUUGUGCACCUGCUGUGUGCCGGGGGAGGGGGAGACAGACGUCCCGACCUCCGCCUCAUGGAGACCACUUUCAGGUGAUGUUCGGGUUCAGAUGUGAGUGUCCCCAGAAGCUCCUGUGUGAGAGGGUGCAAGGAGGUUCCGGGAGCCUCAGCCUGCUCAGUGCGUUGGUUGCUGUCAGGGACUGCCGGCCACUGUGGGCAGGUGGGGUGUGGCUGGAGGAGGCGGGUCACUGGGGACCUGCCUUGGGGUUUCUGUUUUGUCCCUGGUGAGCGGAGCACUCUCUGCGUCCUGGUGGCCGUGGCCUGGGCUGCUUCCCUCCGACACUGUCCACCACGGCGUUCUGCCCCGCCUUGGGCCCAGAGCACUGGUCGGCCUCUGUGGCCUGAGACCUGACCCCAGAGACCCCGUGAGCCUUUCCUCCUCCGCACUCGUUCCGUCAGGUCUUUGGGUCCCAGUGCUGAGCCCCGACGUGGCCGGGGAGGCCAUCAGAGGGCCUCUACUCCGCAGUGUGCGGCUGUUGCUGGGCUGGACGCCCGUGUCGAGGCCCAGGCUGGAGGAGGGCAGCGACGUGGGGCAUGCUCCCCGUGGGCAGGAGGCAGGGUGGCAGGCCAGCCUGGAGCCGGGAGCUGAGCAGGGGGAGCUGGGAGGACCUCAAGGUCCCGGAGGGAAUCUGAACUGGGUCCUAAGCGCAGGCGUUGGGGCCUGGCACAUUCAGGUGUGGAGGGACUGGGGGGACGUGUCCUGUGUGUAAGGCAAGAGGUCCUGUGUGUAAGGUUCUGCAAGAGCCCAGUGGGAGGCAGGGUCUGGCAGGCGGGAGGGGCUGCAGGCGGGAAGCUCAGGAGACUGUGGCAGAGGGGACAGAGUGGGGGUCCUGCUGGCUUUCCACCCCGCCGAAACAGCGCCCCCAAACCAGGAGGCUUGCAGCAGGGAUCUGCUCUUUCAGAUCCUGGAGGCUGGUCCCAAAUUGUGGAGGGGCAGGCUCCUAGCUCCCUGCAGAGGCUCGGGGUCCAGCUGCCUCGUCCACUACUGGCAGCUCUCAGCAGCUCUUGGCAGGCCACUACAACCCCUGUCCCUGUCACGGUGGCCAUGGCCUGGUCCCUGUGUGUUUACCUGAUCCUCUUACAAGGCCACCAGUCACCGAGUUAGAACCCACCCCUGUGCAGCAUGGCCUCAGCCAAAGCUCUCUCCGCAGACCAGCUCAAGUUUGAUGCUCCAGGUGGACGUCACGUUUGGGGGACACACUCUUCACCCCAGCACAGGGGCCAGCAGCAUCUAAAUGGUCAUGGUCAUCGGAGAGAGCAGAUGGCGGGGAGAGGGCUGGUGGCAGCCCUCAGCAAUGUGUAAGGGGUCGCCAGAGGAUUAGGCGCCCCACAGGUCCAGCUGUGGAUGCCGAGUAACAGAAUCGCGGACCUGGACUCCUGGACCCCAGGCCUCCUGGGGCACCUGCGCCCAGCCUGGCAGCCUCCCCGCCUCCCCUGGCCCGGCCUCCACUGUGCCAGCAGAGCCCCUCACUGCACGUGACGAGCGGAGCUCAGCUGGCGGCCUCUGCCCCUUCAGGUGUGCCAGGCCUUCCCCAGCCAGGCCCAGGUGCCCGCAGGUCCAGCCCCACAGCACCCUGCUGGCACUGAGGCCUGUGGUCACUCCUACAUCACAGAAGAGAAAACCUGAGGCCCAGGAAGUGGGGGUCCAGGGUCAGAUCUGGAGGGCUGGCCCCUGGCUUGUCACUGGAUGGCUCCAGCACCACCAGAGGACGUUCAGGCCAGGCCUGGGCUCUGCUCCCGGGCUCCCUGAAGCUGCCCAGUCCGGCCCUGCCUGGGGCCGCUGCCUGCGCUGCCCUCUGCCUCCUAGGACAGAGCAGGUGUGGGCCUGAGCCUUGGGCCGGGGGCAGGAGGUUCCCGCUGGGAUGGCCGCCGCUGUCUCCGGCCUGGAGCUCUGCCCCAGCGAGGCCCCCAGGCCCAGGAGGAGAGCCUGGAGCCCCUUCUUCUUGGGCAAGUCCCUGCGAGGCCAGCGAGGGGCCCUGCCAGCUCCGCUCCCACACAGCCCUCCUGAGCUGACGCCACGGGGCGGAGACGCCUACAGGAAGACCACCCGCCUCCCCGCCACGAGGGCGCCUCCCACCCCGUGCUUCCAGGACCCUACCUCCAGCGCGUCUUCCGCGAGGGCCACCUGUGUGCUCGGCCCCUGGCCUCACAGACCGUCCCAUGUAGUGGGACGGGAGAGAACCUGGUCAUCUGGCUCCGGGCCCUCCAGAUCUAAGCUCACUGCCCAGGGCCCUGCUUCUCCCUGCCCCACCUGCCCCUGGGCAGGAACACCAGGGAGGGAGGGGGAGGAGCUAGGCGGGGGCUCCUGCAGGGUGGCUCCCGGAGGAGGCCUGGGGACCCAGAGGCCGGGAGCCAUCAGCUUCACGAAGGCCCGGGCAGGGUGCUCUGGGCAGGUAGAGUACAGAGGCCCUGGGCAGGAACAGUGUGGCAAGUUGGAGGGCCACACGGGAGGCCCACGCACGGAGCUGUGAGCUGCAGAUGCCCUCUGCGUGCUCUGGAAGCCGGUGGGGGGGGGACCCCAUUGGGCCAGCGGCGCAGGGAGGUUUCCUUGAUGCAGGCCACCUGAUGAGCUGGGCUGAGGGGCAGGGCUCUGGAGACCAGGACCCCCCGGCGCCGCCCAGCCGCCUUCCCGCCUCGCGGACGCUGCCAGGACUGGGAAGCUCUUCUGGAACGCAGAGCAAGGGACGCAGCCUGUGACCAGGCCGCAGGAGCCUGCCCCCGGCCAGUUCCCGUUGGGCGUAAGUGGUGAGAAACGGGCUGGAGGCCGGGAGAACCUGUUUUUCAGCCACCAGGGACGCGGCAGGGCACCCUGAGCUCUGGCCUUUAAGCAAAAGCCACAUCACCCCCCGGGGUCCAGGUCACCCACACAGAGGUUCAGGGUGUGUGCAAAAUGGUGUCCGGUGCAUGACAGGAAGGUCACUUGUUUUCUCUCUGGAAAGGACUCGUCCCCACUAGGACCAGCCAGCUGCACAUCCAGACAGUGUGUGCCUUGGCAGGGACACCGAGGCUCCAGAGGCCUUGGGGAGCUCCCUGGGUCCCAGGAUGGCACAUGCACAGCUGACGGGGACUUCUGGGACAGCAGUUGCCCCCUCGAUAAUGCCUGGGCACCUGCUUCAUGCCCAGGACCCACACGGAUGGACACGCAGACGGACAGACUAUGCCCUGGUGCAGCUCAUGGGAGAGGAGGGGGGUCCUGCUUCCAAUCCAGGCAGCCCCUGCUGGGCCCCUCUUCUGGGCCGCUGGGUCCCCCUGCUGGCUAAGUCCUCUCGUGUGCAGUCCUGAGGAAGGCCACCUUUCAUCAGAGGUUAAAGGGUCCCCUCCUGUUCCGGGAGCCCCAGCUCCCGGUGCCGUGACUCCACGGGACAGGCCCUCUGUCGAGUGGCAGCACUGGGUUACCACAGCGUUUCCCAGCUGUCCCUUGGGCCCUGCAGGAGGGACUGUGGCUUGACCCCGUGCGGCCCGCACUGCCUCUCCAGCCGGGGACCCGCUUCUGGCCUCUGCCUCUGGUGGCCGCGCCCACCCCUGCUUCUUCCAGGCCUGUUCAGACCCACCCAAGUACAAAGAGGGGCCGUGGGCAGCCUGGAGCGUGGACACCUGAAAGUGUGGGAAAGUCUCGGGCCCCAGCAGGCCCCAUGUGAGCGCCCAGGUGAGGAAGCCGCACAGGCCCACGAGGGCCCAGGCCCAGGCCCAGGCUCAGGCUCUGUUGGUGCAGAACAUCUCUCACCGGGUCUCACCAGGGUCUCGCCCUGUGGUGCUGGCUGACGCUGGUCUGCUGUCACACCUUGGGAACAGAGAUGUCGUAGGCAGGCGGUGCUGAGGGCGGGCAGACAGAUGACCACUGUGUCCGUGUCAGAGGCGGCACGUCCUGGGCUGCCCUCUGUCCCCGAUCCUCCCACCCCAGCCUCCCAGUCCUUGGGAUCACAGGUGUGUGCCCUGUGCCGGCUGGAAACAGGGUCUUCAAAGAGGUGACUAAGAUAAAGUGAGGUCACUAGGGCAGCCCUCCUCCAGUAGGACUGGGGUCCGUGGAGGAAGAGGCAACCAGGACACAGAUACACGGGGGACACCAUGCGAGGACACAGGGAGACACAGGCCCGUCUCGGAGUGAAGCUCUCCUCAACGGCCGGUUCUCACAGGGAACCCUCAGCCUGGGACUCCAGACCAGCACACGGGUGGCAGAGAGGACCGACGCACAGGCCCAGGCCCAGCACCAGGGCCCGGCUGGGCAUCGGUCCAUCCAGCCCAGCUGGUCUGUCGCCCCCUCUGGUUCCCCUGGGGGACGCUCAUUUCCUCCCCUGUGGAACCAGAGGCCAUCCUCCUAGGACGCCUCUGGGCCUCAACGGGCUCCCGCCCAGGGCACCUCGCUGGGCGCAGCCCGGCUCUUUUCAACCAGAUGUCGAUUCCUUGUCCACUGCUCGGCUCUUCCACCUGGACCAUGCAUUCUGGCGCCUGGACUUAUUGAUGUAUUUCCAGCGUCUGGCCUGGUGCCCGGCACACGGCGGCAAGUGAAUGAAAUGUGAAAAAAUCACACUCUGUCGGAGCUGCGGCAGAGCAUCCCAGGGCCUUUCUGCUGCCCUGCGCAGUCCUGGAAGCCCCCGGAGGUGCUCAGAGCACAUGCCCGGUGUCCGUCCCUGAGGUGUCCUCCAGGUGGCUCAGGAGGCACAGGCUCCCCGUGCUCUGCCUUCAGGGUGGCAGUAAGCACGGCUUCCCAAGAGCCAGUAGAGGACUGGGUGUGGCUCAGUGACCAGUGCUUACCUAGCAGGUGAGAGGCCCGGCGUUCUGUCCCCAGCACCGAAAAAAUGACACAGUCGCCAAAUUCCCAGCUGAUGUCAGCCUCCCAGCCGGGGAAUAACAACCGGGUUCUCUAUAAAUAUCUAAUGUUUAAAAGAUUAGUUGUCCAAUAUGAUAAUAGUUUUUUUUUCUUUUUUUUUGUUAUGUUUUGGGUACUGGGAAAUGAACUCAGAGGCAUUUUGCCACUGAAUUACAUCCUCAGCCCUUUAAAUUUUUUUUUUAAAGAGAGAAUAUGAAUCUUUUUUGUUGAUGGACACAACACAAUGCCUUUAUUUAUUUUUUUAUAUGUUGCUGAGAAUCGAACCCGGGUCCCGCCCAUGCUAGGGGAGUGCUCUACCGCUGAGCCACAAACUCAGCCCCCCUCAGCUUUUUAAAAUUUUUGUUGUUAGACAGGGUCUCGCUAAGUUGUGGAGGCUGGCCUCAAACCCACAAUCCUCCUGCCUCAGCCUCAGUCUGUGGGGUCACAAGCGUGCACCACCAUGCCCGUCCCAAUCUGAUAAUCUUGAUUUUUGUUUCAUGACAAAUAUUUCAGCUGCAGAAAAAUUCCUUAGGAGCGUCCACAGGCAUGUUUAAGUUGGGCAAUAGGGAGGUCUAGGUACCCGUUUUAAUCGUGGUGAAAUCUACACAACUCGCAGUCUCCCACCACAAGCAUGUUCAGGCUCACAGCUGGUGGCGCUUAGAGCAUCCCUGGCCUUGCGUAACUCACCCCAGAACUCUCUUGCAGCCAGCUGGAGGCUCGGUGCGGUGAACACUGUCUCCCCCGCCCCCAGCAAGGACCCCCACCACCCUCCUUCAGAGUCAGGACUCUCUCCACAGGAGACCACUAGGUCUGUCCCCUGCUUUGGCUGGUGGGGCUGGAGGUCUUGCAGGGCCACCUGGGGUUCCUUUUGUAAUGCUGAAAGGAUUUCACCUGCAUGAGGGGGGUGGGGGAAGCCCCAGGCCCAGAGUGGAGGCCGGGGCUGGUGGUGCCUGCCACUCAGGGUGGGCGAGGGAGGAGGCCGGCCUUUCCAGGACCCCCCCCCAUUCCUCUCCCUGGUGAUGCACACACACAGGGGUGUGUUUGCUUUUCAAGAAGGGCUCUGAGGCCAGGCCAGACUGUCACCUGCCACAGGGCACGCCUAGGAGCCAGGCUGGAGGCUGGCCGUUGCUCUCCAGGGGCUCUUUCCAGAGUCCUCAGCCUUGACCUUGAAUGCUGGUGACAGCAUCGCCCUUGUAUUUGACUUGACGUCAGUGGAUUCCUUUGAACCAGUGACCUCUCCAUGUCCAUUGUUAAGUUUAGGUCUCCAAGGAGAGUGAUAAUACCUCUCCCUCCCUCCCUCCCUCCCUCCUUUUAUGGUACUGGGGAAUCAACCCAGGGGUGCUCUAUCACUGAGCUGUACCCCAGCCCCCUUUUCUCUCUCUCUCUCUUUUUUUUUAUUCGUUGUUCAAAACAUUACAAAGCUCUUGACAUAUCAUAUUUCAUACAUUUGAUUCAAGUGCAGCCCCCCUUUCUCAAUCUCUUGCCUUAUUUUCAUUGCGAUUGGGGUUGGGAAGAACGUAAAUGUCCUGAGAAACAGUAGGAAGGAGUUUUAUGGGAAGAUAAGGAGCAAAGUCGUCCCUCAUGAACUCAAGAUGGCUGCCACAGUCCCAGUCCUCAAGGGCAGAGUUCCAAAGAGUGAGACUUUCUUCUGCUCUCUCUUUUAUCAGAGAUUAAGAUCCCACAACACCUGUACAUUUUCCCUCACGAGAACAGGGUCUCAGCUCCUAGCCUACCAAGGGCAAAGGGAACAAGAUGCUGGUGGAGUGGGACCAACACUGGUUCCUUUUGGGGCGGGUGGGAUGAGCAUGAACCCGAUAAACAGGGCUUUCUCUAGCGGUAAGUGUCCCCACGGAGCUUCCCCCCCCACCCCACCCCAUAGCAAUCAGAGAUGGGCUGCCAUCCCUGCUUCACAGCCGGGGAGACUGCGGCCACUUGCCUGAGAGGACACAGCCAGCGACGGAGAAAGAUGCAGAGGCAAAAGUCCAGUCAGGCAGCUGCCCUCCAGAGAGGUCACUACUGAGUGGACAGCCCCUCCAGAGAGGGCGAGGUGGCCAGAGGGAGCCAGCGGGAGUGCCUCGGGGAGCCCACAGUGAGCGCUCCAGUGGGGGUGUCUGUCGGAGUCCCCUCUUUGACAGGGAGGAGGUUGGGGCCCAGGUAGAGGUGAAGGGACACCAGCUCCGCCUGCCUUCCCUGCGGAGGCUCCUUUGUGAACCCAGGGAAGCUGCCCAGAGCAGCAGGCGGCAAAAUGUUUGGGACUCGGCUUCAAAGCAUGGUUACAGGUGGAGUGAGGCCAGGGCAGCGCCCCCCACUGGGGGCUCUGAGGGCACCUGGCGAGGCACCUGGGUGGGUGACAGAUCAGAUCAGGUGGCGGGAGCCAGAUCCCGCUCCCCACGGUGGGCACUGGGUUCGGUGCUUUGCAGCUUUGAGGGCCUGGAGACCCUGAUGGCUGGAGCCCCUCCCUGCUCCCACAGCCGUGAGCUUGGGGUGCAGGACGCUUGGCCCCGUCCAGGCUCCGUGGUCUCCCUCGCGAGAGAAGGCAGCUGCGCUGGCGAGGACGUUGAAGCGCUGCAGAUGUGGUCCUCCACCCCGCCCAGGGGUGCCCACGUCCUGGAGCUGACCCCAACAGAGCCAGGCCCUGACAGAUGCCCAUGACCCCUGUUCCCACUGUUUGACUUACCAUGACAACAGAACAGCCACAGAGACAAGGACACUCGGGCCCACGAGCUCCCGGCCCAGCAGCCACCAGGCCCUCUGAUCCAGCACUGCCACGUGGAAGAGUCGAGGACAGCUCAGUGGAGACUUGUGCCAGGGACGAAGCGGGGUGAGACCACUCCCUGGUCGCUACAGAGGGAUAGCCCGGCAGUGAGGGACCCCAGGUUCAGUCAGAGCCCCAGUCCCAGCUCUGCCACACGGCAGCUGAGCCAUCUGUUCCCUGAGAAAUCCUGUUUGCAUCCCUGGGCUUUGGGCUCCUCCUCUUAGGGGGCCACAUUGUCCAGUGCCCACCCCACUGGGCUUUCCCAGUUCAGAGCAGUGUCACUACAGACCUCCUGUUAGGGAGCUUCUCGUUCUGGAUGGUCAGGGCCCCUCCCCAACCUCAGCAGGGUCCUCCUUCUUGGGCUGCUUAUGUCUCAAGAAGGGAGGAGCCUCCUGUGUCCUGCAAUGCUCCUGGUUGAUAACUGCAUUCAACCCUUUUCUGUUGCUAUAACAACAUGCCUGAGGGUGGGUAUUUUGUAAAGAAGAGAGGUUGAUUUAGCUCACAGUUUCUGAGUAAAGAUCUGUAAAGAUUUCAUAGUGGGUGGCAUUAUAGUGAUGGGAAUGUGUGAAGACACCUCCCGCCAGCCUGGAAGCCAGAGAGUGGGGAAGGGCUUACUCUUAUCUUCCCCCUGGUACUGGGGGUCAAACCCAGGGCCUCAGGCAUGUUAGGCUACGGAGCUCCAUCCCCAACCCUUUCUAAAAUUGUUUUGUGAGACAGGGUCUUGCUAAGUUGCCCAGACUGCCCUCCCACUUGCCAUCCUCCUGUUUUGGCCUCUAGAGUAGCGGGGAUUGCAGGUGUGUGCCCCAGGGAUUGCAGGUGUGUGCCACAGUGCCUGGCUGCUCUUGCUCUUUUUUGUAACAACUCACUGUCUUGGGAACCAACCAGCAUCUCAAGAGAAUGAUGUCACCCCUCCAGCCCCCUCCCCACCUCAUCUCCUCCCAUGAGCCCCUUUGAAAGAUUCUACCAUCUCUGAAGACCACCAGGCAGGGGACUAAGCUUCCAGCACACGACCCUUUGAGGGUCAGACCAAACCAAACCCUAGCCGUAGCUACACCAUCCAGAUGCCUUCCAGAGAGCAGCUGGCGGCCUCUGCGGCAGCCCCGUCUGGGAGAUCAGACUCUGGGUAUGGUAGUAAAUCUGCUUCCUCCGGCCCUGCUGCACAGAGUCUUUAACAGAAGAACUGGACAGAAAGCUUUUCCAUCUUCAUUGUUUUCUGAUAGAGCCUUCUGAGGCUACCACCCAACUCCGAAAUGUGCUUCAGACAAAAGCUUUUGGGAAGUGGUUUAUUGGGUGGUGUGGAGCAAAGCCAUUUCAGCUUCCAGAAGGCAAUUCCUCACCAUCUGUCUCGCCUUGGCUUUAUCGAAGUAAUGUGCUUGGGAGGUUUUCCUAAUGAUAAAAAUAAUGCACAUUCACAA